RNAcentral lists this ribosomal RNA (699 nucleotides) under Triticum aestivum (bread wheat). RNAcentral describes it as "partial small subunit ribosomal RNA". The record is from RNAcentral. Lineage: Eukaryota; Viridiplantae; Streptophyta; Magnoliopsida; Poales; Poaceae.
AUGAGACCUCCGAUCGGCCGUCGACCAGAACCUUCUCCGUCGGGUAUUUAUAUUCGUGCGUUCCAUGCAUAUGUCGUCCAUCCUUCGUGCCUUCUUUUUCUUCUUCUUGUCCUUCUUCUCAAGCUCACUCUAGCCCGGUCAAUGGAGAGCAAGGCGCAGCACCACGACGGUGUGACCAGCAGCCGCGGCCCCCGCCCCAAGACGCCCUCGCCGCGUCCGCUGGCCGCCGUCGUCGGCCAGAAUGCGGCCUUCUCCUGCGACUACAGCACCUACAGGUUCUUCAGGGCGAUGGCGCUUGCUGGCCACCAGAAUGCGCACAGUCUCGAGCGCAUCCUCUCCAAGCGCAAGCGCCAACUCGUCGCCCUGGAGCCGGCCGUCCCCAGGCUCCACGCCGGCGGGAAGCGCUCGCUGUCUUCCGCUGCGGCGCCCGUGCUGGCGGAUUGGACGUCGUCGGCUUUGGUUCGUGACAGCGGUGAUGCGGCCACCGCCACGCCGGAGGUGGAUUUGUCGCUGAGGCUCUGUUCGUCGUCCAUCACUGCGCCGGAGGUGGACUUGUCGCGCACCACUGCGCCGGAGGUGGACUUGUCGCUCAGGCUGUGGUCUGGUCCUCGCAGUACUACCGGGAGAGGUGGAGACGUGACCCAGCCGCGUACGGGAUCGGGAUCUCGGCGACGCAAAAAUCAGGCCGAGAAGAUAUAA